GGGCACAGAAAAUACUAUUUCCCAAAAAUUCACCUGCAUCCUUAAAAUGGUCAGUCUGUUUGUUCCCAAGGUGUUCUGACCAAGAGGAGAAGCAUUUGCGCAGGCAAGGAGUACACAAGACAGACAGUUUGGCAAGGAGGAUACAUAGAAUUCUUUGGAGGGAAGCAGUUCCUUCUCUUUGCAAGAAAUCUUGAAGGAGAGACAUACAUAUUUAAAGCACUCACAUCUCAACUUUUGGAAGGACUUUGACUUUGGCUUUUCUUGGAGUGUGAAAAAGAUCUAAUACUGUGCUACUGCCUCCCAAAAGGGCUGUAUGUACUUGCACCCUUGUGGUUCCUUGCAAAGUGCCCAGCUGGCAACACAGGAGUAAAAGCAGCACUGUUUGGAUCACCUCCCCUAAACUCCGUUGGGAGAACGUAACAGGAGAACAUUACAGUCUGUGUACAAAGCAGAUGACCAGUGGGUUCUGACCAUCACCUGGGUUACUGAAGGGACAACUUUGUCAUCAGACUCAACCACUGACCAGGAGAGAAACAAAUAACAAAAGCAAACUGUAAAGAGGAAGACAGAGCAGGUAUGAGCAGCCCUGCAGACUUCCUGGCCCCACCCUGUGGGUCACAGCAAGGUUGGCCUCCACCAGUCUUGGCAUCUAUGUUUCCAUGUGUGCUCAGCCUUAGGGGUGGUUGUGUUCCUUCUCACAGAUAGCACCUGGAAAAGCACUUCUUCUGGGGAGAGCUUCUAUGAACUGCAAGUAACCUUUGCUGUUGAUAAUCCUUGGUGGGAAAGAGGAUGGUGUAUGCAAAGCAAUGAUGUAACAAGUGGAGGGAUGUAGACGCUGUUCAGCUCACCAGCAAAACAAUGUCAGUCAUGUCUCUUUCAAAGCUUUGUUGCUGGAAGAUGGCAUUUUCUUUCCUGUCACGUUGCAGGCUGCAGAGAUAAAUCCUGCUUAGCUGUGAUCACGAUAAAAAGGCCACCCCAAUGGGUGUGAAUGCUGGAGAUCUGACCAAUGUGCUCAAAAGUGCAGACAGACAACCAAUCUUACAGGAAAACCUCUGAGAUGGAGAGCUUCAAGGUAGCUGACUACACCCUUAACCUCAAAAAAAAAAAGGUUGACCUUUGAAACCUGGGAUGCACGACUGGAAUGAGGAUCAGGCACACCAGUGCUUUCAUCUCAUUUUUGAUGGAGUAGCUUUGAGCUGAUGUGGAAGUCAUUUGAUCUGCCUGGCCUUUUGAAGAAUAAUUUCUGGCAUACAAUUUACAAGUUCUUAAUAAUUUAUUUCAAGAGAAGGUGCUGCAGCAGCAAGGCAGUGCUGGAGCAAGGGGAGGGUUGUGCUUGAAAUGGGAAGUACGUCUGCCAAGGGUAGAGUUUCUCUGAAUGCCACUGAUGAAGAGUAAAGUGCAUUAAG
Molecule: long non-coding RNA, 1406 nt
Organism: Tympanuchus pallidicinctus (lesser prairie-chicken)
Lineage: Eukaryota; Metazoa; Chordata; Aves; Galliformes; Phasianidae
Exons: 3
Source: RefSeq, a predicted model, not a curated record